This 320-nucleotide ribosomal RNA is filed under the name uncultured eukaryote. Its description in RNAcentral is "partial 18S ribosomal RNA". It matches the Rfam family "Eukaryotic small subunit ribosomal RNA", at positions 1470 to 1796 of the family's 1831-position model. The record is from RNAcentral.
CCCCUAGAUGUUCUGGGCCGCACGCGCGCUACACUGAACAGUUCAACAAGUCUUAACCUUGGCCGAUAGGUCUGGGUAAUCUUUGAACGCUGUUCGUGAUUGGGAUAGACCUUUGCAAUUAUGGGUCUUCAACGAGGAAUUCCUAGUAAACGCAAGUCAUCAGCUUGCAUUGAUCACGUCCCUGCCCUUUGUACACACCGCCCGUCGCACCUACCGAUUGAAUGGUCCGGUGAAAUCUCGGGACGGCGGCUUGGUCGCUUGCGUCCGACUGCUGAAACUUGAUUAAACCAUAUCAUUUAGAGGAAGGUGAANUCGUAACA